This 708-nucleotide ribosomal RNA is filed under the name Crossobothrium sp. 1 JB-2023. Its description in RNAcentral is "partial large subunit ribosomal RNA". Lineage: Eukaryota; Metazoa; Platyhelminthes; Cestoda; Phyllobothriidea; Phyllobothriidae. The record is from RNAcentral.
AGAGAGAGUAAACAGUACGUGAAACCGCAUGCAGGUAAACGGGUGGCGUCAAGCUGCAAGCCCAGAGGAUUCAGCUGGCUAGGGUGUUGUGUAUGCGCCUGGCGCAUCUAUCAGUCAGAGUAAGAUUGCGUAGUCCACUGGAUAACGGUGGGCCCGGCCGCAAGGUUGGGACAUGUGUACCGGAUGGUAGCCGGAGCAUACUACGCGUCUAUGGGACUGCCUAGUCAGUGCACUUUCUCUGUGGUGAACACCACGACCGGUGGUAUUGCCAGUCUGCUGUAGUCAAGUCGUGUUCAGUAGGUUCUCGUAAUCAAUUGGAUGCGAUCACAGGCAAACUCAGUAAACGGCGUAGGGGCGUUUCGGCGUCUCUGCGUGUUAUCGGCUACUGGUUGUCAACGGGCCGGCCUGAUGAUUGUUGUAAUCGUCAUCGGGUGGUCCGGUGGGCUAUGGUGGUAUGAAUAACUGUGCAAGGCACCGGAGUUCUCGACCUCAAAUGCAUCCUGCGCACACAUUACAAGUGGAGCGGGGUGCCAUUGCGUCCUGCCUAUUGUUAGGUCUGAUUGUCGUGUCGCCUGCGCAAAGUGGGCCCGGCAGUGGCCUGAUAUGGGAUGGGGCGUGGAUGGUGCCUCCAGUGCGGGGUGUAGUGGGUGAAACAGUCAGUGGUGUAGUGGUAGACGAGCUACCCGACCCGUCUUGAAACACGGACCA